This 254-nucleotide ribosomal RNA is filed under the name uncultured prokaryote. RNAcentral's name for it is "partial 16S ribosomal RNA". It matches the Rfam family "Bacterial small subunit ribosomal RNA", at positions 524 to 776 of the family's 1533-position model. The record is from RNAcentral.
UACGUAGGGAGCGAGCGUUGUCCGAAGUUACUGGGCGUAAAGCGCGCGUAGGCGGGUCUAAAAGUCGGAGGUGAAAUGCUGUGGCUCAACCACAUGCAGUGCCUCCGAUACUUUAGGUCUUGAGUGAGGUAGGGAGAAGUGGAAUGGCUGGUGUAGCGGUGAAAUGCGUAGAUAUCAGUCGGAACACCGGUGGCGAAGGCGGCUUCUUGGGCCUUUACUGACGCUGAGGCGCGAAAGCCAGGGGAGCGAACGGG